Molecule: long non-coding RNA, 2940 nt
Organism: Canis lupus familiaris (dog)
Lineage: Eukaryota; Metazoa; Chordata; Mammalia; Carnivora; Canidae
Exons: 6
Source: RefSeq, a predicted model, not a curated record
GCUGGCAGUUGAACACACGGAAGGGGAUGUUUACAUAUGAAUAUGGUACAAGAGCCUUCAGCAUGUAAGUAGAAAAUAACAUUAUUUAACAUUUGGCAAAUGCAAUACAUUUGAUGAUGCACUUCAGCUUAUGUUACCUAAUUUCUCCCUGAAGAAACUUUAUAAAUCAAGCAGGACAAUUAUUACUAUCCCUAUUCAACAGAUGAGGGUCAGAGAAGUUAUGUGACUUGCCUAAGCUCACUUAGCUAGUAAAUGACCAAGCUGGGACUGAAAUCUAUUUCCUAUUGCCAACUCCUGUGUUCUCUCUACUAUUACAUGCUGAUAUUCCCGAUGCUAUUUAUAAUUUUGUUUCACAGUUUAUAAUGCACUUUCAACUGUAUUACCCUACUAGAUCUCAUUUGAUACUAUUCCUUUGUCCCUAGGAACACAUCUAAUAUGUGGCUUUAGCUUUUGCCUUGUAAGAUAAUUGCUGUCUCUCAGACAGAAUAAUUACUGAGGUAGGGCAGUUAGUUGUAAUACCUUCAAAGAUAUGUGUUCAUAAUGAAAGAAAAUUUCUGCAGCUUUGUUAGGAAAACCAAUUCUAGUAUAUUUAUCUAAGUAUGCUCAUUUAUCUAAGUGUGUUCAUUUUUGCAUUUGAUAUCUGAAACAAUAAUGCAGCUCUUAAUAUCACACACAAAAGUUCUUCACUGUUGGGAAAUAUAGACUAGGUAGGUAAACAAUUUUCUUUACUGGAGUAUUAUCUUCUAGAAAUAUUUAGAAAUGUAUAUCUAGUCUAGAUGAUAUAUUACUGUUUUGAUCUUUACAGCUGUAAUCAAAUCUACUUGAAAUGUAAUAAUUCUUUGGUAUUUCUUCAUUUGGGGCAAUCGGAAAACUGAAACUCAGAGAAGUCAAAAAGAUUAGGCACUUAGAUAUACAACCAGCCAUUGACAGGUGGACUCAGAACUCACUUUUCCUGGUUUCUAGGUCCAUUUUCCAUUUCUUCUAUGGUGUAUCUCUUGUUUCUAAAUCAGAACUGUGUGGCAAGAAAAAUUUUUUAAAACAUCUCUUAGGAGUCAGAAGACAAGGGUGUAGAUACUAUCUCUGACAAUGACUACCUGUAUAAACUUGGCCAAGCCAUUUAGCCCCUCUUAACAUCAAGUGUGCUCAAAGAUCUAUUUAAAGUAAAUGGUUCUCUAUUUUACCAGAAUGAUACAGCCAUUCCAUGUAAAAUAAACAUCAAUUACUUAUGUUGAAUCUAAUGAGUGGGAUAAGUAUAGCGCGUGUUCACCUAGAUGAACUGAGAAUACAGUCUCUAAGUAUUUGCUGUUUGUAAAAUAACCAGAUUCUGGUGCGGAAAUCUCUCUUCUUUCAUUCACCACUUAGAUCUUUCAACUUUUCAUACAAGUAAAAUUAGACAUGCAAGUGACUUUGUCCUGCAUCUUUAGACCAUCUCUAUUCUAUUCCAAUUGUUACAAAUCAUUAAGAACAGACAACUCUAAUAGAAAAACUAGCAUUUUACAAAAAAAUUAUAUUAAUGGCUAUUAAAUGUAUGGAAUAGUGCUCAUCUUAAUUAGACAUUAAGGGAGUGCAAUUUAAAACCAUAAUGUAUUACCCUUACAUACUCACCAGAAUGGCUAAAAAGAAAAAGAACAAGUGUUAAUGAGAAUGUAGCAAAAUUGAAUUCUCCUAAACUGCUGGUGGGUAUACAAAUUAAUACAACCAUUUGGAAAACUGUUUGAUGAGUAUCUACUAAAGAUUAAGAUAAACAUACUCUGAACUCAGAAAUUUUACUCCUAGGUAUACAUUCCCUACAAAAAAAAAAAUUGUAUAAGCAUAAAUAAAAGACAUGUAUAAGGAUGUUGGUAGCCAGACCAACCAUAAUGGCCCUAACUGGAAACUCAAAUGUGUAUCAAGAGCAGAAUGGAUAAGUUAAAGUAUAUUCACUCAGUAGAAAACUCUACAAUGAAUGUUAAUGAGCCCCAACUAUGGACAACAUGAAUGACCCCUACAAAAUAACAGCCUGUGUUGUCCCAGACAGAGCAGCAGUCACACUACUUCUAAAGAAUAACGUGCUGUCUUCACACUACAAAAGGUUGUCAUCCUAGAAAAGGCAACUUUAACCUAAAAUCUAUGUCAAGUUGAGUCUCACUUUCCAACAAAAGCAGUAUUUCCUUAGAAUACCUAACACUGUAUGGGAAGUUCAAAAAUACCAAGUUCAUCAGCUCUGUAAACAGUGACUGACAGACAGCUAUAGCCUGAUCGUCCCUUCCCAUUAGAAUUUUGGAAGAGAACCUUGGGCAACAGUCUGGCAUGGCAUUUCUGAAGUGCGUCCGCAUCACUAUCUUCAUCUCCAUCACCACUGGCAUCAUCACUGCUAACAUUCACUAAAACCUCAUAUGAGAUACUCUGUAAGCACUUAAUCCAACAAGUCUGUGAGGUGGACUCCAAACUCUUCCAGGACCCAGAGGAAAGACCGUGGGAAGGCUGAAAAGAAAAAGGUGGAGGUGUAGAAAGUGAAAGAAUUUCAACUUGGAAAAAGACAUGACCUACAAUUAUGUUCACCUGCCUUAUUUAGAAAAACAUCUUGAAGCCAUCCUUCAGUGUUAAAAGCAGAAGGUAACUGCCUUUUGAAAUCAGUUCUUCAUUUUUGUGCUGGAUUUUGCUUUUGCAGCUUCUCAAAUACAUAAGCCAAUCUUUGACUUACAAGAAUAAGUGGCAUUGAUGCUAUGGUAGGUUGACCUCAGUAGCUAAAAAAUCCAAUAGUUUAAAAAUUGAGCUCAUUUUUCAUGAGACAUAAGCCAUGAAAAAUAUAAUGAAAAUAGAGUUGACAUCCUGCAAUUCUAACUUCUUUUACUUGAGAGAAAAACAAGGGAUGAUUCUCUUCUGACCUCAUUAUUGCUUCCUUUUAUAUCUAUGUGGACUUCAUGAACCUGCUACAGAAACUUGAGCAGAAAUGCUAAA